CAAGAAUGAAGUCUAUAGAGUUUAUCAAUCUCCAUCCAUUCUACAAACGUGGAUUACCAUACACAGGGAAGAUGUUUUGCCACAGUGAUGACUCUCCCCUCCAAAAUGAAACAGUCUACCUAACAAUUGACAUCGACGAUGAGGAGACACACCUGUCAUUCCUCACAGAUGAGAAAGGGGAAGUCCACUUCUCACUGGAUACCACCAGCUGGAACAGCACACUGGUUUCUUUGAAGGGCACCUACUACCUUGGAAAUGACACUGAGGAGAUAUCUGAAGGUAUCGAGGAUAGCUUCCACUGA
This 302-nucleotide long non-coding RNA is filed under the name Anser brachyrhynchus (Pink-footed goose). RNAcentral describes it as "lncRNA (ENSABRG00000013719.1)". Lineage: Eukaryota; Metazoa; Chordata; Aves; Anseriformes; Anatidae. The record is from RNAcentral.